Anolis carolinensis (green anole) is the source of this 721-nucleotide long non-coding RNA. RefSeq lists it as uncharacterized. The transcript has 2 exons. NCBI's taxonomy places the organism in Eukaryota, Metazoa, Chordata, Lepidosauria, Squamata, Anolidae. The record is from RefSeq and is a predicted model, not a curated record.
GAUGGGAACAUUCAUAUUCCCUCAUGUUAGAUCAUUUUUGUGACAUCAAAGAGUGGGCAUUCCUGUAGGUGGUAUUUAUAAUAAUAAUAAUAAUAAUAAUAAUAAUAAUAAUAAUAAUAAUACAAAAACUUUAUUUCUGUUCUGCCCUAUCUCACCGAAUGGAACGAAACACUUUGGUAAGAAGAUGACUCCCCCCAUUUUUCCCCUUCAUGGGAUGAGAUCCUGACUUACCCAAACUGGCACAUCAAUUCCAACUCUUUUAUGGUUCUAUUACAGCAAGAGUCUUGGAUGAAAUUCAAGAAUCCCUCUGAGAAUGUCAAAGAACCCUUGAAAUGAAGCAUGGCUGGCUUAUUGCUUGUUGGAAUGAAUGAAGUACGACAUAUCACCAGAUAAGCACACACACAGAGAGAAACAGACGCAUGUUGUCUGGCAUCCUGUCAGGGACAAAUGAACAGUCUCUCUUUUUUUGCAGGUGGUUGUGUUUGGCUUCAUUGUAUCUGAAGCGGGAAGAAAGUAUUAAUUACAUCCUGUCAAGAUCUGGGGCGAAGAAUUCAAUAUUAUCUUUUACUGUGACUAAGAAAUGAACCUAGGCUUGCUUCCAAACUCCAGCAGCAGCAACAGUCCCUGACUUUGACAUGCCGAGGAAGAUAAUAACUUUCAUCACAUGCUAAUUGUCUUGUUAACAUGGAUUGUGCAGCCAGCCAAAUAAAUGUCAUUCCAG